Molecule: transfer-messenger RNA, 378 nt
Filed under: Ochrobactrum sp. CM-21-5
Lineage: Bacteria; Pseudomonadati; Pseudomonadota; Alphaproteobacteria; Hyphomicrobiales; Brucellaceae
Rfam family: Alphaproteobacteria transfer-messenger RNA
About the family: Bacterial tmRNA, also known as 10Sa RNA or SsrA, is named for its dual tRNA and mRNA-like properties.
Source: RNAcentral
CCUCUUCCAAUCGGGCCAAACCGCGCUUAUAUAAGUCCUGCUGGCGCAAGCCAGCUAUGGUAAUAAAUGGACGGUGUAAUAAACCUAUUGGACCCGGGGGCGGUACCCGGCGCCUCCACCAGAGCACAAGCGGGCGGUCAACAAGGAUGCCGGUUUGUGUUGUGGCGGGGGCGAAACAGGAUCGACAAGGGUGUAAAGAUCGCUCUUUUACUCGGCAUGAUACCACCGUUAUCGGGUCAAAAGUGUAGUUGCAAAUGACAACAACGCUAAGGGUUACGCUCUCGCUGCCUAAUGGCGGCGCGGGAAACCCGACCUAAGCCCUUAGGGUUAGCACCUUAAGGCGGGGUUCGGAGGCACCUGGCAACAGAAGCCUCCACU